AGUUUGAGCUUGAUCCAGAAGAUUACAUCACAUCAGUGAAAAUUUCUUACGAGAAACUCUUUGGAACACCAACAGAGAUCAUCACGGCUCUUGUCUUCAAGACAUUCAAAGGCAAAACUUCUCAGCCGUUUGGAAUGGUCUCUGGUCAAGAAUUUGAGCUAGGAGGCGGAAAAAUCGUUGGAUUCCAUGGAAGUGCGAGUGAUGUUAUUCAUUCUCUAGGAGCCUAUAUAGCUUCGUCAACCACGCCGGUGACUCCGCCGGAGUCAGGUGGUACGACCAAGUUGGAAGCUCAAGGUGGUCGUGGAGGAGAGAUUUGGGACGAUGGUGGUGCUUUUGAGAAUGUCAAGAAAGUGUAUGUUGGACAAGGUGACUCUGGUGUGGUUUAUGUCAAGUUUGAUUACGAAAAAGAUGGAAAAAUUGUAUCACGUGAACAUGGGAAGAAGACAUUACUUGGAACAGAGGAGGUACAUAGAAUUUUGUGUUCUUGAAAUUGCUUAAAAGGUUAUUUUUUUUUCUUUUUUUCUUUUCUAAAUAAAAGAACAUUCUUGAUGCUUCUUUUCUUUAUUUUCAGUUUGAGCUUGAUUCAGAUGAUUACAUCACAUCUGUGAAAGUUUACUACGAGAAACUCUUUGGAACGCCAACAGAGAUCAUCACGGCUCUUAUCUUCAAGACAUUCAAGGGAAAGACUUCUCAACCGUUUGGAAUGACCUCUGGUGAAGAAACUGAGCUAGGAGUCGGAAAAAUCGUUGGAUUCCAUGGAACUGCGAGUGAUGUGAUCCACUCUCUUGGAGCUUAUAUUGUCUCAUCGUCCACACCAGUGACUCCUUCC
RNAcentral lists this long non-coding RNA (829 nucleotides) under Eutrema salsugineum. RNAcentral describes it as "long non-coding RNA (ESAL_LNC001640)". Lineage: Eukaryota; Viridiplantae; Streptophyta; Magnoliopsida; Brassicales; Brassicaceae. The record is from RNAcentral.